Molecule: ribosomal RNA, 305 nt
Filed under: uncultured bacterium
Lineage: Bacteria
Description: bacterial SSU rRNA
Rfam family: Bacterial small subunit ribosomal RNA
Source: RNAcentral
GUCCUACGGGGGGCAGCAGUUGGGAAUAUUGGACAAUGGAGGAAACUCUGAUCCAGUGACGCCGCGUGAAGGAAGAAGGUCUUCGGAUUGUAAACUUAUUUUAUCAGGGAAGAAAAAAAUGACUGUACCUGAAGAAGAAGCACCGGCUAACUACGUGCCAGCAGCCGCGGUAAUACGUAGGGGGCAAGCGUUAUCCGGAUUUACUGGGUGUAAAGGGAGCGUAGACGGUGAGACAAGUCUGAAGUGAAAGCCCGGGGCUCAACCCCGGGACUGCUUUGGAAACUGCCUGACUGGAGUGCUGGAGG